This 436-nucleotide small RNA is filed under the name Pan troglodytes (chimpanzee). RNAcentral's name for it is "retained intron". The record is from RNAcentral. Lineage: Eukaryota; Metazoa; Chordata; Mammalia; Primates; Hominidae.
AGAUGGCUCUCAAGCACCUCCUGAAGGCCAUUGUCCUUUCUUGCUCCAGUGCUACUAUAUCGGGGCCACAGAUGAUGCAGCCACCAAAAUCAUCAAUGAGGUAUCAAAGCCUCUGGCCCACCACAUCCCUGUGGAGAAGAUCUGUGAGAAGCUUAAGAAGAAGGACAGCCAGAUAUGUGAGCUAAAGUAUGACAAGCAGAUCGACCUGAGCACAGUGGACCUGAAGAAGCUCCGAGUUAAAGAGCUGAAGAAGAUUCUGGAUGACUGGGGGGAGACAUGCAAAGGCUGUGCAGAAAAGUCUGACUACAUCCGGAAGAUAAAUGAACUGAUGCCUAAAUAUGCCCCCAAGGCAGCCAGUGCACGGACCGAUUUGUAGUCUGCUCAAUCUCUGUUGCACCUGAGGGGGAAAAAACAGUUCAACUGCUUACUCCCAAAA